GCAUUAGAUAAACUUAAGAAUUGAUCGAGGUAGUAUUUGAUUUCUCAGAAACAAGAAUGGUUGCUAUGAACAACACAAAUAUCAGGAUAUUUUUUUUCUUUGCCCUCAUUUUUCAAUGCUAUGAUGCGUGCAAAUUGAGUGAUCUUAAGAUACAUCAAGAGAAAACAGGAGCCCAAGUACACAACAAGCCAGAGUGGAAAGUUAGUAUAACCACUGAUUGUAGAUGUAGUUAUCCUAAUGUGUUUCUAAAAUGUGUUGCAUUUCAAACCGUGGAGCCUAUUGACUCUUCAAUUUUGACUUUCAAGGGUCCAUUCUGUGUUCUUGAUAAAGCUGUCUCUAGAUCUCACCCUAUUAUCUUCAAAUAUGCAUGGGAUACCGUUUAUCCCUUUACUAUUGCUAACGCAGAAAUUGCUUG
Molecule: non-coding RNA, 415 nt
Organism: Arachis ipaensis
Lineage: Eukaryota; Viridiplantae; Streptophyta; Magnoliopsida; Fabales; Fabaceae
Source: RefSeq, a predicted model, not a curated record